CUUCCCAGUGCCGGAAGGUAAAGGAAGUUGGUGACCUAAUGACAGGGUAGCUGGCUACUGAAGCCCUAAUGAACGGCGGCCGUAACUAUAAAGGUCAUAAGUAGAGAAAUUCCUUUAUCGGGUAAGUUCCAACUCGCACGAUAG
RNAcentral lists this non-coding RNA (144 nucleotides) under Solanum tuberosum (potato). RNAcentral's name for it is "Bacterial large subunit ribosomal RNA". It matches the Rfam family "Bacterial large subunit ribosomal RNA", at positions 1859 to 1998 of the family's 2925-position model. The record is from Rfam by way of RNAcentral. Lineage: Eukaryota; Viridiplantae; Streptophyta; Magnoliopsida; Solanales; Solanaceae.